AGAAAGCUCCUCAGCUGCCAUUGUCUGCAGCUCAGCCAGAAGCUGCUGAUGUUCCUCUGUAGACAACUCCUGAAUGUUCUUCCACCAGCUCCUCAACAUCGCCACUGUCGACCUGUGAGCCAUGGACUCUGUUAUAGUGACAGUGUCCUCAACCACAGGUGAUCAAAUGUCCAUCUCCAGUACUUAAAGAUGGAAGACAGUUAUCCGGAUUUGGAAAAUCAUUUUACUACAAAGCCAUGGUUAAGUUUGAGUGCAUGGCGGGCUUUUACCUUAACGGCAGCGAUACCAUCAUGUGUGGCACUGAAAAUGCUUGGGAACCCUCCAUCCCGCAAUGUAUUAAAGGAUAUCCCAAUCCCCAUGAAGGACUCUUUGACCAAGAAUUAAGUUAGUAUUUUGGCUAUUAAUAAUAACUGCAUUAUGAAACCAUGCAGUUUACAUGGAAAUAUCGUAUAUUACAAUUACAGUCAGUUAAGUAAGAAACAGUGUCACAUAUUAUUGGUGUUAAGUAGCAUUUAGGGUUACUUUGGCUGUGUUGAUUCUGUGAAGAACAUGUGAUGGCAUGCAUAGCAGCGCAUCAAUAAGCACAGUUUCAUAACUGUGCCUCAACACAGGAGAGCAAAUUGGGGGAGCUCACGUCCUUAAAUGCUCUCAUUACAUGUAAGUGAAAAUACCUAAAAUACAAUCUGUUUUCCACAUGACAGGGUUAUUUUGCGAUGGCAAUUUGUAGAUAGAUUCCCGUCCUGUUCGCUGUCAUGCAUGCACCACCCUGUAGGUUGGGUUGGUAACAGGCCAGUCUAACACACUUAUGUGGAUCUACACAGUUCACAUCAUAGUAAAUGAACUAGUCAUGCCAGUUAACGGUCAAUGAAAUAUAACGAUUUCUUGGGCUGGGAAUUUAGCUCAGUGGUUCCGGUGCCUGCCUUGCAAGCACAAGGUCCCAAGUUCGAUCCCCAGUUCCACAAAAAAACAAAACAAAUAAAGAUUUCUUGAUGAGUGAAAGAAGACAAAAAUCGAUUUCUGUUUAUUAGACCAGUUUAGCAAUGAUUAGUCCUUUAAUGCAAUUCAUGUUAGGCUUAUUUUUUAGUAAACCAUCUUUCAGGCUCCAUGGAGACUGCUUCCGGGACUCCCUCUGACACCGAAAUGUGGGCACUCGAGACCCUCAUAUAAAAUGGCGUGAUAUUUACACACCACCAGGGCACCUUCUCCUGUGUACUGUGCCAUCUCUAGAUGCCUCAUAAUACCCAAUCCAGUAGAAAUAAUCAUGCUCUAUUGUUUAAGGAAUAAUGACAAGAAAACAGAGUCUGCACACACUUGGAACAGGCACAAUUUAUUCCCCAAAUAUUUUCAGUCCGCAGUUGACUGGAUCCAUGGAUUUGGAACCCAUAGAUACUCAGUACCAACUCUACAUUUGCUCCUUGACUUACAGUGGGGUUGCAUCCUGAUGAAACUGAGUGUAAAUUGAAGAUAUCCUAAGUUCAAAUACAUUGAAGGCCCCUAACUUACCAAUAUCAUAGCUUAGCAACACUGCAGAGACUUCUGGUUGUUUACUUUUGUGAUCUUGUGGCCCGCCACCCCGUGCAGCAUCCUGAGAUUCUGUCACACGUCCUAUUGCCAACCCAGGAAAAGUCAAAAUUCAAAGUUUUUCCUCUACUCUAAUGAAUGCUAAUGUUCCAGUAACCUUUGCUAAAUAACCUGAGGGGGUAACUAUAAGACAAAACAUGGCAGAGUAAAGUUUCUAUUAAAGAUUUCCACAAAUUGGACCCAAAAUCCGAAAACUGGCUUAGAAGGGUUCAGUGAGCAAAAUGAUUUAGUGGCCAAACAUGGCAGCCCACGCCUGUAACACUGGCAGUCAGAAGGCUGAGGCAGGCAGAUCCCUGUGCAUCAGAGGCCAAGUUGGACUACACAGUGAGCAAAAGAAAAACAAAGAACAACCUCCUAGAUGUACUAGUGGCCAUGCUAAAAUUAACUAAACUUUUCUUCACUCUAAUGUUUAGAAGAGCUGAGCUGAAUAAAAUGGAGCCAUUGUCUAGAUCCACACUUAUCCAACAUGUUCUGUUUUCAUAUUUUCGUAGAUGUGUGGAUCAGUCUUCUCAUGCUUCUUGUUCUAGGUAAAUAUCCCAAUUUUGAAUACUAUUCCAGAGAAGUGCAGUUUUAACAUAGGUGUUCACUUCUGUAGUUCCUAGAGCUUGAGAUUAAGCAGACCAACCUAGAUUGAGACCAGCCUGGCCAAUUUAGCAAUUUAUUGAGACUCUGUCUCAAAUUAGAAAAGUGAAAAAGGGCUGGGGAAGGCCCUGGGUUCAAUGCCCAGUACUGCACAGGGAAAGAACAAAAAAGGUGGGAAAGCAACCUAGAAAAGCUCGUCUUUAUUUAUAUAGUACCCUUUGCUUUGGCUGAUUUUAUAUUCUUUGUAUCCUGUACAUAUACUUAAAAAGAAGGCCUAAAAACAAUGUGUUUUCCUAAGAUGAUGCGAUCAGAGUUUGCUUCUUAAAUAUGCUUUUGGCAAUUUUCUAAGUCGAGCCAGUGCUCUUCUUUGACCUACUGUCUACUGUGUAAGUAAUUCCAGGGAGCUGGAUGUAGAUAAUGAAGAAUUCAGGUGGAAUAUAAACUAUAGAUGCUUACAUAAAAUACCAUAGUCUAACAUAUAAAUAUCACCAGCAUUGUUUCUUCUGCUUAGAUUUUGAGUCCUGGUUAUUAGUUUUCAGUCACGUUAUUUAUUUACUGUUUUCCUUUAGUUGUUGCAGUGGCUGUACUUCCUCUUUUUGUGCACAGAUGCGUUGAACACCAUAAUAAAAGGUAAAUAUAAGCACAUUUCUUCUAGCUUAUUGGUCCUUAUCCUUCACUCGCUUUUAUGCAGCCCAAGUUUGCACUUCGUACUGGUAGAGUCUUUUUCCAACUGCGCCUGCAUUGAUGUGUCCUCUGGAUUGCAUUUCUUUGCUAAAAUAUUUUCAGCUAUAUUUUUAACAUCAUUGCAAACAUGAGGAAUCUGAGCAGUUUCAUCAGUGCUGUUGUAAGAACAGUUUCUGUAGGGUGUGAGGUUUAAGUCCCUUAGUGAGGCCUCUCCCACCCUAGGUAUCUGCUGUUUCCUAAAUGGGAUGAGUGACCAAAAUUAAAGUAUUGCACUCUGGAGACUUUAACAGUUGUAGUCACUGGAAUCUCUAUGAUGAACGUUUCCGUUUGUAUAAUUUAGCUGGUUGUAAUGAGAUAUGUAGUGUCAUAUUAAAAUUCCCAAUUUGAUUUCUUUUCAUCUAGAGUUGUUAUCUAUAAAUGUUAAACUGGGGGCUAAAAACCAACACUAGUUGAUUUCUCUCUUAUGUUCUUUUAAUUUACUAGAUUGCAUUAUAAGGACCCAGGGGCUCAAGUUGCUGAGGGUAGCUCCAUUAACUUUUAGCUAUCUUUUUCUCUAUAAAAAUAAAAGCAGAGCAGAAAAAAAUAUAUGAAUACAUAUCUUUUAAUGAAAACAGGGUUUUUAAGUAUCAAAUUUAAAUUGUGACAAAAGAAUUUACAAUUUAAUGGAAGAUUCAGAAUAAAUCCUGGAGUAUGGGCCAAGAUUAGACUGAAAUAUGUAUUUUUAUUUUUUCCCUGUAGCUUUAAAAAUAGCUUUGAAGUCAAGUAAUUUUAAGACUUCUGUUGCUUCUGGGUUCUUUUGCUUUUAUAUUAAUAUUCAGAUUUGGGCUAUAUAAUAAAAGUAUAUUCUUGUCAUAAAAACCUCAAACUUUUCAUAUUUCUGGGUUAACUUUUAAAAUAUUCAUAAUUCCUUCAUUUGAUCUUACAAAUCUUGUACUUAUGAAACACAUAAUAUUCUUAUUUGAUUUUUCUGCAAGUUUUUAAAAAUUAUAUAUACAACAAUGUGAAUAGAAAAUAUUAUCAGUGGAAAAGUUUUAUGAGUCUAAAAGGUUUGUACAGAAAUAACUUCUAGCAAUACCAAAACAAAACAGCUUUCUGCUCAUUUCCUUUUUUGUUUAAAACAUCACUCCAUCAAAAUUCUUAAAGAUUCCCAACAAAUGUUAAUCAGACUCUCUCUAGAGGGGUCUGUUAACUCUAAGCAAUUACCUGACUAUUACACUCACAAAUUAAAGGUUCAAAUGCAAUAGUAAUUUGAAAUUUCAAAAUUAAUUUUUAUUAUUUUUAUUAAAAGCCGCUAUGUUAUAACACAGGGCUCCAACAGAAAACUGCCUUAUUAAAAUUUUAAUAUAUUUUGGAAAGAUAUUUUACCUUUAACCAAUGCAACCUAAUUAAUCCCAUGUGCAUUAGCACGACUUGACAAAAUUACAAAGAAUGGCGUGGAAAGGGUGAUUCUUAAUUGCCUUUGAACUGAAGUGUAGAUUGUAUGGGAAUCUUUUAGGGUUUCCUUUGCUGUUUUUGUGACAGAAACAUACUCAGUAGAACAUGUAAUGGCUGAACCACCAGUUAGGUUCUUUCAAAUGCUCAGGAGAGAGAAGUUAGAUUCUUAACUUCCAGACUGCCUGGCUUCAAGGCCCUGAGGUCCGUGCAUCCCCCUGGCCGCUGAAGGUCCCCUCCUGAGGGUUUGCACCUCCUCCUGAGAGCCCAGAGUGGUGCUCCUCUAACUGCAUGUGCCCGCGAAUGACCUGCAGAUCUGGUAAAAAGCAGAUGCGGACACUGGGUCUGGGGCGGAGCUGGAGCCUCUCAUCUCUCCUGCACACCGGGGUCAUGCUGCUUUACUGCCCUGACCGAGGCUCGGAGUACCCAGGCUAUGACUGUCAGCGACAGAGCCACAGUGUCCACAUAAAGCUGAAGGCACGGUCCAGCUUCUUGCCAGGUCUAAGACCACUGGAGCUUUAAAGACUCUACAUCUAUGUAUGUAUCUUAAAAGGGUCAUUACUCUUGUUAAACCACCCCAGCAUAGGUGAGAGCUGUUAAAGUUAUGCAAAUCAUUUGCUUCAUUCAUAUUCUCAAUUAUCUGUGCCAGAACAGUGUUUUUCUAUUAACCAUAUUUACUUUUAGCUAUACCCUAAACCCACUUUUAAUGUGAUACUAACAUGGGCAGAUUCAAUUACUUUGUCCUUUUUAAGCUAUCUGCUUAAAUGAUUGUUUCCUUCAGUGAGACAUACUCGUCUUGGCUCAGACGGCUUAAAAAUUCAGACCAGAAACUGGUAGGACAUGGGGCAAAACCAAUCACAUCAAAUCAAGCAUUUUUUUCUAGUUGGCUCUCAAAUUUUUUAGCAUUCAACAAAGCUUUCUAAAUUUUGAAACAAAAAAUAGUGUGUAACGAAAGAUUGCAUUGUUAGUUUAGGAAGCAUAGUAAUGAAAUUAAAGCCAUCCCAGAAAUUGGGGGGGGGGGCGUGCAAUACAUUUUACAAGAGCUUUCCCUCAAGUUGAAAACCAAAUGUCCCAGGAAGAAACUGUACUCAAUGUAAAAAGUCAGGGUGCCUCUUAAAACUAUAUGACACGUCAUAAAAUUGAUUUCUAAGACAGUCUGACUCAGAUUUAAUAAAUUGUAUGUAUUCUCUUAAAAUCGAGGGUGUUAGAGACCUCGCCCAUUUCUCCUUACACAGUGUUACUCUUUGAAAGAAUUUUUACAAUAUUUGCUUUGUGUAAAAUGGUUUCAAAGGUAAACGUACUGGACAGAAAUUUAGAAUUUGUUCAUCUGCUGGGUGAUGCGUAAGACUUCAAAGUAGCCGGGUACCAAAUCCAUGCUGAGAGCCAGAAAACCUGGCCAAUUUAUGCACCUCAUGCUCAGCUCCACUCUCUUCCAUCAUUGAUUUACCUCACAUACUGCCCUUGCUUCUUUUUGGAUUGAUGCCUCUGUCUUAUUCAGCCUUUUUCCUUUCCUUUGUCCAGCACAAAGCUAACUGAUGACAGCCACAAAGAAAUAAAAUUUACUUCUCUCUGAAUAGAAGAGAUGAGAGAAAGGUUUGCUUUCAUCAUUAAAAGGUAUCUGCUUUCUGUGUGUUUCUCUGUACCAAUGUCCUUUGUUCUGAAAAAUAUUCAGUGGGAAUUUAGAUAUCGAUAACCUGAGCCCAGAGAGGUUAGCAGUAAACGUCAAAGAGGAAACUUAGAUCUCCAUGCCUUUGGCCAAUUACUGAUGUUUUCUUAGACCAUUACUUAGAUUUGGCAUAAUGUGUGCUGACAGGAUUUGCUCGGACAUGGGCUUGCGCAGAAGUCUGUUCCCUUUGCCUUUAUCAGACUGUCCACUUGCCUACACUAUCUAGAGUAGCUCAGAAUCCAAAAAGGAACUGUUGCGCCCAGUGGGAGUAAUCACCAGAACCAGUUCAUUUAAUUUCAAAGAGGGGGAAAAAUGCUCUUUUAGGGCUGGGGAUUUAGCUCAGUGGUUCUGCCACCUGCCUCACAAGCACAAGGUCCCGAGUUCAAUCCCUGGUACCGAAAAAAAAAAAAAAAAGAAAGAAAUGGCAUAGUAUUCCAUUGUGUAUAAAAAAUGCUCUUUUACAAAAACCAAAAUAUAUUUUAUUUAAUUUUGUAAAUGUAUUCUAUUGCAAUAUGUGAAUAACUGAAAACAUUUGCUUCCCUGAACCAGAAUAUAUUUAGCAUAUUAAAGAAAAUCAGAAAAACACUGAGACUUUGAAAAAUCCUGAAUUGCUUUGCCCUCCACCCUUUGGUCCCACGCACCUUCGGCCUCCAACUGAAAUGAAUCCCAAGUGCUUCCCUGCCUAUGCUACAGAGUGUGUCUAUUCGGCUGGAAGAAUGUUGCCUUUCUAAGCGACUCUAUUCUAGUUCACAAGCAAGAGUUUGGGAGCAGGACCUGCAAAGGCCAAAGGGAGACACGAUUUCUUAGUAAAAACAAGGUUGUGUUUCUGAGCAUGGCCAGAGUGGAGGAUCGCACACCAACUAGAAGUGGCAGUCUGGCCCUAGCCAGUUCUCUAGGCUCUGUCUCCUGUGACAACCUGAGGUGAAAGCCAGUGAGUAGCUUUUAGACUCUCUGAAGCUUCAGGGAGUCCGAACAUUUGAAGAUCAUUUAAUGAACCCUGAGGGUAGCACAAAAUAACCUUGAUUAGUAAUUUAGUUUCACACUUUUAUUCCAGACAACUUUGUUGACACGUCAAAUAUUUUAAAUUUAUAUUAAUGCUUUUUAUCUUUCUCAAAUAUCAAAUCCCCUUUUAAAAAUUCUAUGUAGGGCCAGGGAUUUAGCUCAGUGGUUUCCCCGCCUGCUGCGCAAGCACAAGGACCUGAGUUCGAUCCCCAAUACCAAAAAGAAAAAAUUUGUAUGUAAAGGAUUCUACUUCUACAGAAGAAGAAAGUGCUGGAAAAUACAGCAGACUUGAAGAAUUUAGUGUUAGGCCAAGCUAUGCAGGCACUUCAGCAUUCCUUAGAAACAGUCCUAACACUGACCACUGGGGUGCACAGCUGCAAUCCCAGCCCUCUGGAGGGCUGAGGCAGGUGGAUUUCAGCUGAGAGACCACCCUGGGCCACUCGGCAAAACCUGGUCUCACUAAAAUACAGUGAGGCUGGGCUGUCGCUCAGGGGUAGAGCAUUUGCCCAGCUUGCCCAAGGUCCUGUGUUCAACUUCCAGCACGGCAUUUAUAUACAUGUACCUGUAUUUAAUACCAGUUAUGCAAACUGCUAGCCGACAGGCAGGGGUAGACUGCAGUGUACAGCCCUGGGUCACCCCAAGGCCUUCAGAAGUGACCCGUCCAACAUAAGAGGUGCUGAGAGUAUAAAGGACACACAGUGUCCAAGACAUAGGACAGAGGAGAGUGACAUGAAUGUCAAAACUCAUUCACAACAUUUGAUACCUACAUGGGGUUAAAUACUAUUAAUUCCGCCUGUUUUCUUCCGCCUGUUUUCAAUGUGUCCUCUAGAAAACGUGCGUAUGUGAAUGCCUCGGGCAGCACUGGGCGUGAGUAGGUUUUACAAAGCUGCCCACUGUCAAACAGCGUAUGGCGGAAACUCGCGCUAUCGAGGGAACACAGGAUCUGGCUCGGGCUGAGGGAGGCCGUCCCAGCACUGUGAGAAUCACCAGCUUCCGCAGAGUUCAUCUCAGAGCUCUCGACGCCGAUUCGGGAUGGUCAGGAAGCAUGUGUCUCUCUCCAGCCUUCCCCACUGGCCCUAAGUCAAAGUGAGGAGAUAUUUACUAAGUACUCUGUGUGCUGCUGCUCUACUUGUUUUGGAAGGGAUUAAAAAUGUAACACAGGAAAAAAAAAA
Molecule: non-coding RNA, 8118 nt
Organism: Heterocephalus glaber (naked mole-rat)
Lineage: Eukaryota; Metazoa; Chordata; Mammalia; Rodentia; Bathyergidae
Source: RefSeq, a predicted model, not a curated record